GGGCGUAAAGACGCAUGCAGGUGGUUUGUUUAAGUUACAGAUGUGAAAGACCCGGGGCGUCAACCUACGGAAUAGCAUUUGUAAACUAGGCAGACUAGAGUACUGUAGAGGGGGGUAGGAAUUUCAGGUGUAGCGGUGAAAUGCGUAGAGAUCUGAAGGAAUACCGGUGGCGAAGGCGGCCCCCUCGGACAGAUACUGACACUCAGAUGCGAAAGCGUGGGGAGCAAACAGGAUUAGAUACCCUGGUAG
RNAcentral lists this ribosomal RNA (249 nucleotides) under uncultured bacterium. Its description in RNAcentral is "partial 16S ribosomal RNA". It matches the Rfam family "Bacterial small subunit ribosomal RNA", at positions 556 to 793 of the family's 1533-position model. The record is from RNAcentral.